UCGAGAAUCUUCCGCAAUGGACGAAAGUCUGACGGAGCGACGCCGCGUGGAGGAUGGAGGCCUUCGGGUUGUAAACUCCUGUCAGGGGUUAGGAAAUUCUGUACGGUUAAUACCCGUGCAGUUUGACAUUAGCCCCAGAGGAAGCACUGGCUAACUACGUGCCAGCAGCCGCGGUAAUACGUAGAGUGCAAACGUUGUUCGGAAUUACUGGGCAUAAAGCGCUUGUAGGUGGCGCGGUAAGUCGGUUGUGAAAGCCCCUGGCUCAACCAGGGAAUUGCUGCCGAAACUACCGUGCUUGAGUGUGAGAGGGGAGAGUGGAACUUCCAGUGGAGCGGUGAAAUGCGUAGAUAUUGGAAGGAACGCCGGUGGCGAAAGCGACUCUCUGGCUCACUACUGACACUGAGGAGCGAAAGCUAGGGUAGCGAACGGGAUUAGAUACCCCGGUAGUCCUAGCCGUAAACGAUGGGCACUAAGUGGAGGGAAUCCUACCAUUCUCUCUU
This 500-nucleotide ribosomal RNA is filed under the name uncultured bacterium. Its description in RNAcentral is "bacterial SSU rRNA". It matches the Rfam family "Bacterial small subunit ribosomal RNA", at positions 355 to 845 of the family's 1533-position model. The record is from RNAcentral.